Molecule: unclassified non-coding RNA, 328 nt
Filed under: plant metagenome
Description: partial contains 5.8S ribosomal RNA, internal transcribed spacer 2, and large subunit ribosomal RNA
Rfam family: 5.8S ribosomal RNA (bases 1-104)
Source: RNAcentral
GAAAUGCGAUAAGUAAUGUGAAUUGCAGAAUUCCGUGAAUCAUCGAAUCUUUGAACGCACAUUGCGCCCUCUGGUAUUCCGGGGGCAUGCCUGUCCGAGCGUCAUUGCGAACCCCUCAAGCACGGCUUGUGUGAUGGGCCCUCCAGCGUCUUGGUCGUCAAGACGGGCCCGAAAUGCAGUGGCGGCUUCGCGGUUAUCCGAUCAGCCAGAGCGUAUGGGGACUCUCUCUCUUGUCACACGCCCGCGGCGCGGACCGACGCCUGUCGACCUUUAUUCAUCUUCUCUCGGUUGACCUCGGAUCAGGUAGGGAUACCCGCUGAACUUAAGC